This 242-nucleotide unclassified non-coding RNA is filed under the name Hevea brasiliensis (rubber tree). The record is from RNAcentral. Lineage: Eukaryota; Viridiplantae; Streptophyta; Magnoliopsida; Malpighiales; Euphorbiaceae.
GGAGAAAUGAAUAGAAUUUAUAAUAUUCAAUACAAACACAACAAAACCAGCAAAAGAACAGAUAUUGUUAGGAGGAAAAAUUAAGUCAACAUAAUCCAAGGAAAAAUAUGAGUUUCCAAAAUCUAAUGCCUAAAUGUAACUACAAGUAACAUCCAACAAGGCAACAACUAGUUAGAUUUCACCAGUCAGAAAUAAAAGAAAGGAAUGAAAAAGACUUCUUCUCCCCUUUUUUUUUUUUUUUU